Molecule: ribosomal RNA, 1473 nt
Filed under: Phaeocystis globosa
Lineage: Eukaryota; Haptophyta; Phaeocystales; Phaeocystaceae
Description: 16S small subunit ribosomal RNA
Rfam family: Bacterial small subunit ribosomal RNA
Source: RNAcentral
CUCUGGUAUAAAUUUUCAUCUUUCUGUGUUUGAUUCUGGCUCAAUAUAAACGUUAUCUGGGUAUUUAAAACAUGCUAAUAUAACGAUGAGUUUUUGUUGUGUUCGGAGAGUAUCAAUAAAAGUAAACAUUCGCUAAAAAUAUGAAAAAACAUAUAGUAAACAACCAGUUUCUUAUAAGAUUUAUAAUUAUUUUGUGUUUUGCUUUUAUAGGAUUAGAUAGUUGAUUAGCUGUAAAUUUUUCAAGUCAAUGAUCCUUAGCAGUUUUUUUCGAUCUUUCUGCCUCAAUAGCGCCGCUAUAUUCUUUUUGGGAAUCAGCAGUUAGGAAUAUUGAACAAUAAAAUAACUUUUGAUUCAGUGACUUAGAUUAGAGUCUUUAUGCGUGUUUGUAUUUUGAUCUAUUAAAAGAAAAAAUUGAUUUCGAACAGUUUUAAAGCUUACGAUUAAUGCUGAUAAAUCAAGUGCCAGAAGUCUCGGUAAUGCCUGAAGCAUGAACGUUAUAUUAUUUAUUAGAUUUAAAUUGUAAAAAGGAAGGAUCGCAAGCUUUUAAACAAAACCCAAUAAGUGGGGUUAUGAAAAGAAACUACGAUUCUUUAAUGUUAUUAAAGGGAUUAGAAUAAAAAAUUUAACGUUAAAAUGUUUCGAUUCUUUUUAGAAUUUCAAAGGUUAAAACAAACCCCUAAAUAAAAACAUCAAUUCUUUGGUUACGAAAGCUUAAGUAUCGAAAGGAAUUAGAGACUCCUGUAGUUUAAGCUGUCAAUAAAAACCGUGUUUUCCAUAAUCAAUAUUGGUAAAAGAAUAAAGAUAGUUCGGUUAAUCUAAAAAGUAUAACCGCAAGGUUGAAAUUUAAAGAUUCAGACGAGAAAGAAGCUCCGUUUGUGGGUUGUGUUAUUUAAUUCGAUAAAACGCGCAAAUCUUACCAAAACUUGCAAUUUAUUCAGCUAAUAAGAUAUCUUAUAUUUUUCGAUUAAACAGUUGUUGCAUGGUUGUCGUCAGUUCUUAUUUUAUAACGUUCAGUUUAUUCUGUUAAAGAACGAAACUUUUUUUUUAAGGUAAAAAAACCUAAAAAAAUGUUUUGAUAAAAAACACAAAAAAAAAUGACUUCUAAAUCCUUAUGACGCUAAUGUUUUGGGCUUUUAAUGCGAUACAAUAUAAGAGAAUAAAACAUUAAAAUUUAUUUAAAGCUAUAAAAUUUAAACGAAAAUCUUAUUUUGUUCAGAUUGCUUUUUGAAACUCAAAAACAUAAAGAAGGAAUAAACAGUAAUGAUUGGUUAUUCAGCGGUCAUGAAACUUUCUAUUUCUUUCUAUACUUUUCGCCCGUCGCUUCUUGAGAUCAAAUUCUAACAAGCUGAAAUAGAGGGUAAAGCUCAGUAUUUUAUUAUCUCAAAGUUUUUCUAGCUUUUUCAUACGUUAGUUUUUGAGAUUAUGAAUAAGUCGUAACAAAGUAAUCGUAGAUGAAUCUGUGGUUGGAAUAAG